AGUGAACGCUGGCGGUAGGCCUAACACAUGCAAGUCGAACGGCAGCACAGGAGAGCUUGCUCUCUGGGUGGCGAGUGGCGGACGGGUGAGGAAUACAUCGGAAUCUACUCUGUCGUGGGGGAGAACGUAGGGAAACUUACGCUAAUACCGCAUACGACCUACGGGUGAAAGCAGGGGACCUUCGGGCCUUGAGCGAUUGAAUGAGUCGAUGUCGGAUUAGCUAGUUGGCAGGGUAAUGGCCCACCAAGGCGACGAUCCGUUGCUGGUCUGAGAGGAUGAGCAGCCACACUGGAACUGAGACACAGUCCAGACUCCUACGGGAGGCAGCAGUGGGGAAUAUUGGACAAUGGGCGCAAGCCUGAUCCAGCCAUACCGCGUGGGUGAAGAAGGCCUUCGGGUUGUAAAGCCCUUUUGUUGGGAAAGAAAUCCAGCUGGCUAAUACCCGGUUGGAAUGACGGUACCCAAAGAAUAAGCACCGGCUAACUUCGUGCCAGCCGCCGCAGUAA
Molecule: ribosomal RNA, 506 nt
Filed under: uncultured bacterium
Lineage: Bacteria
Description: partial 16S ribosomal RNA
Rfam family: Bacterial small subunit ribosomal RNA
Source: RNAcentral